AGAGUUUGAUCAUGGCUCAGGACGAACGCUGGCGGCGUGCUUAACACAUGCAAGUCCACGAGAAAGUCCGGUUUCGGCUGGACGAGUAAAGUGGCGAACGGGUGAGUAACACGUAGGUAACCUGCCCCUGGAUUUGGGAUAACUUCGCGAAAGCGGAGCUAAUACCGAAUAAUGCAGCGGACCCGCAUGGGUAUUGUUGUUAAAGUGGGCUUCGGCUCAUGUCUGGGGAUGGACCUGCGCCCCAUUAGCUAGUUGGUGAGGUAGUGGCUCACCAAGGCGACGAUGGGUAGCCGGCCUGAGAGGGUGUCCGGCCACACUGGGACUGAGAUACGGCCCAGACUCCUACGGGAGGCAGCAGUGAGGAAUAUUGGGCAAUGGGCGAAAGCCUGACCCAGCAACGCCGCGUGAGGGAUGAAGCUCUAAGGAGCGUAAACCUCUGUUAGGAGGGACGAACAACCAUGAGGUAAAUAAUCUCAUGGCCUGACGGUACCUCCAGAGAAAGCCCCGGCUAACUCCGUGCCAGCAGCCGCGGUAAUACGGGGGGGGCAAGCGUUGUCCGGAAUUAUUGGGCGUAAAGGGCGAGUAGGCGGGAUGGUAAGUUAGAAGUGAAAGUUCGAGGCUUAACUUCGAAAUUGCUUCUAGUACUGCUAUCCUUGAGUGCGAGAGAGGAAGGCGGAAUUCCCGGUGUAGCGGUGAAAUGCGUAGAUAUCGGGAAGAACACCGGUGGCGAAGGCGGCUUUCUGGCUCGCAACUGACGCUGAAUCGCGAAAGCGUGGGGAGCAAACAGGAUUAGA
This 794-nucleotide ribosomal RNA is filed under the name uncultured bacterium. RNAcentral describes it as "bacterial SSU rRNA". It matches the Rfam family "Bacterial small subunit ribosomal RNA", at positions 8 to 782 of the family's 1533-position model. The record is from RNAcentral.